Leptonychotes weddellii (Weddell seal) is the source of this 1654-nucleotide non-coding RNA. Lineage: Eukaryota; Metazoa; Chordata; Mammalia; Carnivora; Phocidae. The record is from RefSeq and is a predicted model, not a curated record.
AAGGGAAGGCAGCUCAGACGAGGGUGGAUCAGGGAUGCAUCCCUGUGCUGGCGACACCCCAAAGCAGUCCCUCAGCUGCGCCUCUUCCUCGCUCUGUGCACCUCCCAUCAGGCUGCCUCCUGCCUGAAGCUGGGUCUGUCGUGGGGCCUCACAGAAGGGAUGUGAUAAGAGUAUUAAGGGCGCAGGCUCGCGGGCUUCAAAUUCUGGCUUGAUGGCUUCCUUGCUGUGCCGUCUUGGGCAAGGCACUUCCCACCCCGGGCCUCAGCUUUCUUGCACAGACAGGGACACCAGUUUGAAGACGGAAUGAGAAAUGCCCGGAAAAUGGACAACACCGUCCCCGAGGUGCAGCAGGUACUGGACACAGGUCGGCUGUCAUCUGUCAUCUGUCACUGUCCAGGAAAAGGAAGCAGCUGGCCGGGUUCCCAGGCUUGGGCACCAGGGACCGAGAAAGGCCUGUGGCGGCAGGAGGCCAGACAGGAAGGAGAGGGUCUGGAGGAUUAAGGACCAGAUCUGAGCCUCAGAUGCCUCGCAGAGCCCCAGGCGGGACUGAACUCAGCGGCCGGAUGAGCCGGCUCAUGGGGUAGGGGGAGACCUUGGAUCAGCAAAAUAAUGCUGGACAAGGGACCCGAUCCACCCCCUCCCACCUGCCACACCUGUCUCCGUUCAUGACCAUGAUUUUCCAGAUGACAUCGUCACAGAGGUGGGCAGUCUGGGACAGGAGGAUGGAGUUGAUGAGCCCUCACAAGUGGCUCUCCUCAUAAAUUUUUGGCAAUUAUUUUUAUGGAGAGCAUGGAUCAGACCCUGAGACAUCCCAUCAGCGAUGGCCUCUUGACCAAGCCCUCACCAAUCAUCAAUUGCUGGGGAAAUGCGGACCCAUGUGUUUAAAAGUCUCACCCAGCACAAGCCACAGACAAGGAGAGAGUAUUUUCCAAACACAUGGCUGAGAACAGUCUGUACCCAGAACCUAGGAAGAAGUCUCAAAACUCAAUAAUAACAAAAGAACCUGAUUAAAACAGACAGGAUGCCAAAGAAGAAAGGAAUAGCCAGUAAACGCGUGAAAAGAUGCUCAGCGUUUAGUUAUCAGGGAAAUGCAAAAUAAAACCACAGUGAGAUACCACUUCACCCCCCACAAAGAUGGGAAAAUUACUAACAAUACCAAGUUCUGGGGAGGAUGAGGAGCAUCCGGAGCACCCAUGUGAUCUGGUCAUUUCACUCCAAAGUAUUUACCCAAGAGAGAAGAAAGCAUAUGUCCGUAGAAAUACGUGUGCAUGAAUGUUCAGCCUUAUUUGUAAAAACUGGCGCUGGAAACAAAUGGAUAAACAAAUUGUGGUCUAUUCAUACAAUGGAACACUCUUCAGCAAUAAAAAGGAAUGAUUUUUGAUAUAUACAAUAUUGAUGAAGAAGCUAAACAAGUCAGAGCACAAGUUAGAGAACAUUCUGGAAAAUGAGAACUAAUCAGUAGGAACAGAAAGCAGACUAAUUAUUGCCUAGGGCAGGGGAGGAGGUGAGGCAGGGAGAAAUGGGAGGGAGAGAUUCUCAAAGGGCAGGGGAGCUAUUUGAAGGUGAGGAGUAUUACAACACACUGAAUGGGUACUCCAGAAAUUCAUGUGUUAAAACCUGACCCGAGGGCGCCUGGGUGGCUCAGUCAGUUAAG